GAUGAAGAACGCAGCGAAAUGCGAUACUUGGUGUGAAUUGCAGAAUCCCGUGAACCAUCGAGUCUUUGAACGCAAGUUGCGCCCGAAGCCACUAGGCCGAGGGCACGCCUGCCUGGGCGUCACACGCCGUUGCCCCCCCAUCUACUCCUUCGGGAUUGCGGGGGGGCGGAUGAUGGCCUCCCGUGCGCCUAGCCGCGCGGUUGGCAUAAAUACCAAGUCCUCGGCGACGCACGCCACGACAAUCGGUGGUUGCGAAACCGCGGUUGCCCGUCGUGUGCGUUCGUCGCGCAUCGAGGGCUCGAAAAAAUGCUCGGCUCCGGCUGGGCUUUCAACGCGACCCCACGUCAGGCGGGGUUACCCGCUGAAUUUAAGCAUAUCAAUAAGCGGAGGA
RNAcentral lists this unclassified non-coding RNA (391 nucleotides) under soil metagenome. Its description in RNAcentral is "partial contains 5.8S ribosomal RNA, internal transcribed spacer 2, and large subunit ribosomal RNA". The stretch from base 1 to 122 matches the Rfam family "5.8S ribosomal RNA", at positions 35 to 154 of the family's 154-position model. The record is from RNAcentral.